UCCGGUUUGUCACCGGCAGUCUCGCAUGAGUCCCCAACUAAAUGCUGGCAACAUGCGACGGGGGUUGCGCUCGUUGCGGGACUUAACCCAACAUCUCACGACACGAGCUGACGACAGCCAUGCACCACCUAGUUUUGUGCCCUUGCGGGAAGCUCCCUUUCAGGAGCGGUCACUAACUUUCAAGCCCUGGUAAGGUUCCUCGCGUAUCAUCGAAUUAAACCACAUGCUCCUCCGCUUGUGCGGGCCCCCGUCAAUUCCUUUGAGUUUCGACCUUGCGGCCGUACUCCCCAGGCGGACGACUUAAUGCGUUAGCUGCGGCACGGAAGGGACUAACCCCCCCACACCUAGUCGUCAUCGUUUACAGCGUGGACUA
This 373-nucleotide unclassified non-coding RNA is filed under the name uncultured bacterium. RNAcentral's name for it is "contains 16S-23S intergenic spacer region". The record is from RNAcentral.